GUAGGUGGCAAGCGUUGUCCGGAAUUAUUGGGCGUAAAGCGCGCGCAGGCGGUUCUUUAAGUCUGAUGUGAGAGCCCACGGCUCAACCGUGGAGGGUCAUUGGAAACUGGAGAACUUGAGUACAGAAGAGGAAAGCGGAAUUCCACGUGUAGCGGUGAAAUGCGUAGAGAUGUGGAGGAACACCAGUGGCGAAGGCGGCUUUCUGGUCUGUAACUGACGCUGAGGCGCGAAAGCGUGGGGGGAGCAAACAGGAUUAGAUACCCUGGUAGUCCACGCCGUAAACGAUGAGUGCUAAGUGUUAGGGGGUUUCCGCCCCCCCCUUAGUGCUGCAGCUAACGCAUUAAGCACUCCGCCUGGGAGUACGGCCGCAAGGCUG
RNAcentral lists this ribosomal RNA (376 nucleotides) under uncultured organism. RNAcentral describes it as "partial 16S ribosomal RNA". It matches the Rfam family "Bacterial small subunit ribosomal RNA", at positions 527 to 896 of the family's 1533-position model. The record is from RNAcentral.